Molecule: ribosomal RNA, 440 nt
Filed under: uncultured bacterium
Lineage: Bacteria
Description: bacterial SSU rRNA
Rfam family: Bacterial small subunit ribosomal RNA
Source: RNAcentral
AGAGUUUGAUCCUGGCUCAGAGCGAACGCUGGCGGCAGGCUUAACACAUGCAAGUCGAGCGGGCGUAGCAAUACGUCAGCGGCAGACGGGUGAGUAACGCGUGGGAACGUACCUUUUGGUUCGGAACAACACAGGGAAAACUUGUGCUAAUACCGGAUAAGCCCUUACGGGGAAAGAUUUAUCGCCGAAAGAUCGGCCCGCGUCUGAUUAGCUAGUUGGUGAGGUAACGGCUCACCAAGGCGACGAUCAGUAGCUGGUCUGAGAGGAUGAUCAGCCACAUUGGGACUGAGACACGGCCCAAACUCCUACGGGAGGCAGCAGUGGGGAAUAUUGGACAAUGGGCGCAAGCCUGAUCCAGCCAUGCCGCGUGAGUGAUGAAGGCCCUAGGGUUGUAAAGCUCUUUUGUGCGGGAAGAUAAUGACGGUACCGCAAGAAUAAGC